RNAcentral lists this ribosomal RNA (574 nucleotides) under Pseudomonas synxantha. Its description in RNAcentral is "bacterial SSU rRNA". The record is from RNAcentral. Lineage: Bacteria; Pseudomonadati; Pseudomonadota; Gammaproteobacteria; Pseudomonadales; Pseudomonadaceae.
AGUCGAGCGGUAGAGAGAAGCUUGCUUCUCUUGAGAGCGGCGGACGGGYGAKUAAUGCCUAGGAAUCUGCCUGGUAGUGGGGGAUAACGUUCGGAAACGGACGCUAAUACCGCAUACGUCCUACGGGAGAAAGCAGGGGACCUUCGGGCCUUGCGCUAUCAGAUGAGCCUAGGUCGGAUUAGCUAGUUGGUGRGGUAAUGGCUCACCAAGGCGACGAUCCGUAACUGGUCUGAGAGGAUGAUCAGUCACACUGGAACUGAGACACGGUCCAGACUCCUACGGGAGGCAGCAGUGGGGAAUAUUGGACAAUGGGCGAAAGCCUGAUCCAGCCAUGCCGCGUGUGUGAAGAAGGUCUUCGGAUUGUAAAGCACUUUAAGUUGGGAGGAAGGGUUGUAGAUUAAUACUCUGCAAUUUUGACGUUACCGACAGAAUAAGCACCGGCUAACUCUGUGCCAGCAGCCGCGGUAAUACAGAGGGUGCAAGCGUUAAUCGGAAUUACUGGGCGUAAAGCGCGCGUAGGUGGUUUGUUAAGUUGGAUGUGAAAUCCCCGGGCUCAACCUGGGAACUGCAUUCA